UACCAGCACCCCGAGUGGUCGGGACGUUUAUUGGGCCUAAAGCAUCCGUAGCCGGUUCUACAAGUCUUCCGUUAAAUCCACCUGCUCAACAGAUGGGCUGCGGAAGAUACUAUGGAGCUAGGAGGCGGGAGAGGCAAGCGGUACCCGAUGGGUAGGGGUAAAAUCCGUUGAUCCAUUGAAGACCACCAGUGGCGAAGGCGGCUUGCCAGAACGCGCUCGACGGUGAGGGAUGAAAGCUGGGGGAGCAAACCGG
RNAcentral lists this ribosomal RNA (253 nucleotides) under uncultured bacterium. RNAcentral's name for it is "partial 16S ribosomal RNA". It matches the Rfam family "Archaeal small subunit ribosomal RNA", at positions 474 to 727 of the family's 1478-position model. The record is from RNAcentral.